UACGUAGGGGGCAAGCGUUGUCCGGAUUUAUUGGGCGUAAAGCGCGUGUAGGCGGCUGGGUAGGUCCGCUGUGAAAACUUGAGGCUCAACCUCAAGAGGUCGGUGGAAACCAUCCAGCUAGAGUCCGGAAGAGGAGAAUGGAAUUCCUGGUGUAGCGGUGAAAUGCGUAGAUAUCAGGAAGAACACCCGUGGCGAAGGCGGUUCUCUGGGACGGUACUGACGCUGAGACGCGAAAGCGUGGGGAGCGAACAGG
This 253-nucleotide ribosomal RNA is filed under the name uncultured bacterium. RNAcentral's name for it is "partial 16S ribosomal RNA". It matches the Rfam family "Bacterial small subunit ribosomal RNA", at positions 524 to 776 of the family's 1533-position model. The record is from RNAcentral.